AAUACGCUCCGUGUUUCAGGGGGAUUUUUCAUAUCCUAAGCUUUCUGAGAAGCCAUGCAUGCAUAAAGCCCUCCACUUAGGACAGUGGGCUAAGUUUUCUUAUA
Ceratotherium simum simum (southern white rhinoceros) is the source of this 104-nucleotide non-coding RNA. Lineage: Eukaryota; Metazoa; Chordata; Mammalia; Perissodactyla; Rhinocerotidae. The record is from RefSeq and is a predicted model, not a curated record.